UACGAAGGGGGCUAGCGUUGCUCGGAUUGACUGGGCGUAAAGGGCGCGUAGGCGGUUCGUACAGUCAGACGUGAAAUUCCUGGGCUCAACCUGGGGGCUGCGUUUGAUACGUGCGGACUUGAGUGCGGAAGAGGGUCGUGGAAUUCCCAGUGUAGAGGUGAAAUUCGUAGAUAUUGGGAAGAACACCAGUGGCGAAGGCGGCUCACUGGCCCGUAACUGACGCUGAGGUGCGAAAGCGUGGGGAGCAAGCAGG
RNAcentral lists this ribosomal RNA (253 nucleotides) under uncultured bacterium. RNAcentral's name for it is "partial 16S ribosomal RNA". It matches the Rfam family "Bacterial small subunit ribosomal RNA", at positions 524 to 776 of the family's 1533-position model. The record is from RNAcentral.